GUGAGGAAUUUUGCGCAAUGGGGGCAACCCUGACGCAGCGACGCCGCGUGGAGGACGAAGUCUUUCGGGAUGUAAACUCCUGUCAGUGGGGACGAUAAUGACGGUACCCACAGAGGAAGCACCGGCUAACUCCGUGCCAGCAGCCGCGGUAAGACGGAGGGUGCAAGCGUUGUUCGGAAUUACUGGGCGUAAAGCGUAUGUAGGCGGCAAGUUAAGUUCAAUGUUAAAGCCAACGGCUCAACCGAGGAGAUGCAUUGAAUACUGGCUAGCUAGAGGGUGUUAGAGGAAGACGUAAUUCCCAGUGUAGCGGUGAAAUGCGUAGAUAUUGGGAGGAACAUCGGUAGCGAAAGCGGUCUUCUGGGACAUACCUGACGCUGAGGUACGAAAGCGUGGGGAGCAAACGGGAUUAGAAACCCCGGUAGUCC
This 425-nucleotide ribosomal RNA is filed under the name uncultured bacterium. Its description in RNAcentral is "bacterial SSU rRNA". It matches the Rfam family "Bacterial small subunit ribosomal RNA", at positions 354 to 796 of the family's 1533-position model. The record is from RNAcentral.